This 274-nucleotide ribosomal RNA is filed under the name uncultured bacterium. RNAcentral's name for it is "partial 16S ribosomal RNA". It matches the Rfam family "Bacterial small subunit ribosomal RNA", at positions 523 to 796 of the family's 1533-position model. The record is from RNAcentral.
AUACGGAGGGAGCGAGCGUUAAUCGGAAUUACUGGGCGUAAAGCGCGCGUAGGCGGCUUUGUAAGUCGGAUGUGAAAGCCCCGGGCUUAACCUGGGAAUGGCAUUCGAUACUGCAUAACUAGAGUAUGGUAGAGGGAAGUGGAAUUUCCGGUGUAGCGGUGAAAUGCGUAGAUAUCGGAAGGAACACCAGUGGCGAAGGCGACUUCCUGGGCCAAUACUGACGCUGAGGUGCGAAAGCGUGGGGAGCAAACAGGAUUAGAUACCCGGGUAGUCC